UUUUUUUAUUAUUGAUCAAAGCUAUUUCAUCGAAUACAUUGUUUAAUUGGCCAAAUGGCCAAAUUCCCCUAAAUAGUAUUGCCCCAGCUCGAGCCUCUGUAGAGUAAGGGAGAGCAGACGUACUCGUAAGAGCUGAUGGCGCCAUUGAAAUCUCUGGAGCGGGAAUACCCACUAAUCGACUCUAUUUUCCAGAACUUCUGUGCUUCUCAUGGAAUAUUUACAGUUGAAGAUUUUCUCAUACAUGAUCUAUACCUGUUAGCGGCUUUGGCAGAACAAAACAAUAACUCAGGGAAGCUGAAGCAGGGUAUCACCCAGGUUUUCUCUAUCAUUGAUAAUCAGUGUCGACCAUGGUUGAAUGGAUUGGAAUUGUUAAAUGAUGUUGAACAGAACAAGCAUGUUCUAUCUACAGGAUGUGAAAGGAUUGAUGCUUUUCUUCAAGGUGGACUACGUGAGGGACAUCUAACGGAGCUGGUUGGACCAUCGUCCUCUGGUAAAACACAAGUUUGCCUACAAGCUGCUUCAAAUGUUGCAAGAAAAUAUUCAGGCAGAGUGAUGUACUUUGUCUCUGGUAACUCUUUUUCAUCAAAACGAAUUGUGGAGUUUGUCCGUCAAAUGUCAGAUCCUGCUAAUAAUCAGGCAAACAGUACUCUUCAACAGGUCAUGAAGUGUAUAAUAUGCCACUCUAUAUUCGAUAUCUUCAGACUGCUGGAUGUGCUUCAUCAAUUAAAACAUAGUUUGAGAUCUCAGAUGGACUGUCAGGUUAGGAUGCUCAUUAUUGAUUCAAUAUCGUCACUUGUAAGCCCAGUUCUUGGAGGCAGUGGAGCACAUGGUAUACAUUCUUGACACGCUUUAAUGGCUACUGCCGGAUUCUUAUUGAAGGAGUUAGCACAUGAGAAUAAUCUUGCCGUUGUGGUGACCAAUCAUAUGGUGGCUGGUGAGGGUGGUGUUUCCAAGCCAGCACUUGGGGAAAGUUGGAAGAACAUUCCACAUGUGAGGCUUUUGUUAUCCCAAGAUCAUGUAACCAAUAUUAGCAGCAUGUCGAUACUUAAACACCCGUAUCUGGCCACAGGGAAGGCCACUGAGUUUGUGAUAAGGUGACUUGUCAGAUUAAUUACAAGCAAAUGCAUUCUAAAAGAGGACUCUUUUUGGUACAGGGAAAGCUGAUUACUAAUAACUCUGGUAAUACUCAGGGCAUUACUUAAGAUUAUUGAAGGCGUUACUUGAGAUUCUUCAAACUAGUAGGAACAUGACUUGUACUCUGGAAUUUAAAAACCGUUAAUACUUAUUUUAGUUAAUUGUGAAUUUUUGUUUA
Olea europaea var. sylvestris is the source of this 1312-nucleotide RNA transcript. It is a transcript of the gene named DNA repair protein RAD51 homolog 4, with no coding region annotated. The record is from RefSeq and is a predicted model, not a curated record. The transcript has 10 exons. NCBI's taxonomy places the organism in Eukaryota, Viridiplantae, Streptophyta, Magnoliopsida, Lamiales, Oleaceae.